UUAGAGUUUGAUCCUGGCUCAGGAUGAACGCUAGCUACAGGCUUAACACAUGCAAGUCGCGGGGCAGCAUGUCGGUUGCUUGCAACCGAUGAUGGCGACCGGCGCACGGGUGAGUAACGCGUAUCCAACCUGCCCUUCACCACGGAAUAAUCCAGUGAAAAUUGGUCUAAUACCGUAUGAGGUCAUACGAUGGCAUCAGAAUAUGACGAAAGGUUUGGCGGUGAAGGAUGGGGAUGCGUCUGAUUAGCUUGUUGGUGAGGUAACGGCUCACCAAGGCGACGAUCAGUAGGGGUUCUGAGAGGAAGGUCCCCCACAUUGGAACUGAGACACGGUCCAAACUCCUACGGGAGGCAGCAGUGAGGAAUAUUGGUCAAUGGGCGAGAGCCUGAACCAGCCAAGUAGCGUGCAGGAAGAGGGCCCUAUGGGUUGUAAACUGCUUUUAUAUGGGGAUAAAGUGAGUUACGUGUAGCUUAUUGCAGGUACCAUAUGAAUAAGGACCGGCUAAUUCCGUGCCAGCAGCCGCGGUAAUACGGAAGGUCCGGGCGUUAUCCGGAUUUAUUGGGUUUAAAGGGAGCGUAGGCCGGAGAUUAAGCGUGUUGUGAAAUGUAGAUGCUCAACAUCUGAACUGCAGCGCGAACUGGUUUCCUUGAGUACGCACAAAGUGGGCGGAAUUCGUGGUGUAGCGGUGAAAUGCUUAGAUAUCACGAAGAACUCCGAUUGCGAAGGCAGCUCACUGGAGCGCAACUGACGCUGAAGCUCGAAAGUGCGGGUAUCGAACAGGAUUAGAUACCCUGGUAGUCCGCACGGUAAACGAUGGAUGCCCGCUGUUGGUCUGAAUAGGUCAGCGGCCAAGCGAAAGCAUUAAGCAUCCCACCUGGGGAGUACGCCGGCAACGGUGA
RNAcentral lists this ribosomal RNA (899 nucleotides) under uncultured bacterium. RNAcentral's name for it is "bacterial SSU rRNA". It matches the Rfam family "Bacterial small subunit ribosomal RNA", at positions 1 to 897 of the family's 1533-position model. The record is from RNAcentral.